Molecule: transfer RNA, 73 nt
Filed under: Pelagomonas calceolata
Lineage: Eukaryota; Pelagophyceae; Pelagomonadales; Pelagomonadaceae
Also listed under: 1 other name
Rfam family: tRNA
About the family: Transfer RNA (tRNA) molecules are approximately 80 nucleotides in length.
Source: Rfam by way of RNAcentral
GUCCCUUUCGUCUAGAGGUCAAGGACACUACCCUUUCACGGUAGUAACACGGGUUCGAACCCCGUAAGGGAUA